RNAcentral lists this ribosomal RNA (497 nucleotides) under uncultured bacterium. Its description in RNAcentral is "partial 16S ribosomal RNA". It matches the Rfam family "Bacterial small subunit ribosomal RNA", at positions 28 to 507 of the family's 1533-position model. The record is from RNAcentral.
GAUGAACGCUGGCGGCGUGCCUAAUACAUGCAAGUCGAGCGAACAGACGAGGAGCUUGCUCCUCUGACGUUAGCGGCGGACGGGUGAGUAACACGUGGAUAACCUACCUAUAAGACUGGGAUAACUUCGGGAAACCGGAGCUAAUACCGGAUAAUAUAUUGAACCGCAUGGUUCAAUAGUGAAAGACGGUUUUGCUGUCACUUAUAGAUGGAUCCGCGCCGCAUUAGCUAGUUGGUAAGGUAACGGCUUACCAAGGCAACGAUGCGUAGCCGACCUGAGAGGGUGAGCGGCCACACGUGAACUGAGACACGGUCCAGACUCCUACGGGAGGCAGCAGUAGGGAAUCUUCCGCAAUGGGCGAAAGCCUGACGGAGCAACGCCGCGUGAGUGAUGAAGGUCUUCGGAUCGUAAAACUCUGUUAUUAGGGAAGAACAAAUGUGUAAGUAACUAUGCACGUCUUGACGGUACCUAAUCAGAAAGCCACGGCUAACUACGUG